AAUUUAGAAAGCACCGCUAAGAUGCAUGGUUGGGAUGAGCGUACCUUAAUUUGUAAUUGUACUGCAAAGUUGAGUGGUUAUGCUAAGGGAUGGUAUGAGCAACAAGCAUCAUAUGAGAUUAGUUGGAUUGAGUGGAAGGAAAAAUUAAUAAAGGCUUUUCCUUUCACUAAAAAUAAAUUAUCACAAAUCAGGGACUUAGUGAAUCGAGUCCGGUUGCCUAAUGAAGAGCCUAUAGAAUUUUAUUACAAUAAAUUGGGAAUAGUAUCAAUAAUUUAGAUGCUAGUGUAGAACAAGACCAACCUGUGACAGCAUUGAGAAGUGUCAGUUCUAACAAAAAUAUAAAAUGUUUUGUUUGUGGCAAAUUAGGUCACAAGGCAAGUAGAUGUCGUAAGAGCAAGGAACACAGAUAUA
This is a long non-coding RNA of Ostrinia furnacalis (Asian corn borer), 411 nucleotides long. RefSeq lists it as uncharacterized. NCBI's taxonomy places the organism in Eukaryota, Metazoa, Arthropoda, Insecta, Lepidoptera, Crambidae. The transcript has 2 exons. The record is from RefSeq and is a predicted model, not a curated record.